Molecule: long non-coding RNA, 734 nt
Organism: Carassius auratus (goldfish)
Lineage: Eukaryota; Metazoa; Chordata; Actinopteri; Cypriniformes; Cyprinidae
Exons: 2
Source: RefSeq, a predicted model, not a curated record
CCACAAGUCUGUAAAAUUAAUCCAAUAGUAUGCCGACUUCUAUCUUUUGAAAACCAAUCACGUUACGACCUCUAUCUUUUGAAAACCAAUCACGUUACGACUUCUAUCUUUUAAAAACCAAUCACGUUACGACUUCUAUCUUUUAUAAAUCAAUCACGUUGCGAUCUCUAUUUUUCCGCGUCCAAUGAAAUGGCAAGGUCUAUUUCUCAUACACCAAUCACGCACGUCCUCGCCAAUUGCAUGUAAUCUCCGCUCAGGUAACGUUAAAUUAUUUACAUUCCGCUCAUGUAUGUUAUUUAUAUCUUGAUAUGAAUGAAAUGGUUUAGGAUUUUUGUUCUUUAGGAAUAGCAAGAUUGGCCAUGUAAAUUAGCCUAUGAUUACCGCUUGAUACUACGUAACGUCAACUGUCACUGAUGUGUAAAUACUAUUACGACCGGAGCUAACGUAACUGUAAAUAUGUCGAAUUUAACCGAUUAACAAGUUUUCUCAAUGAAAAAAAAAUGCUUUUUAUUGAAUUGUAAUAAGGUUCCACAGCUUUUUCCAAAUGCGGCAUUUGAACACACAAAAUGAAUUUGGAAAAUGUUAAUGUUUUGUUUAACUUUUACACGUAUGUUAUAUGUUUGUACAUAUGUUAUGACCAGUCAAAAGAAGUGAAUGGAUAAGUUUAUACAUUCAGGUUCAUGCCCUUAUCACAUGGACACAGUUGAAAGACCACAAUAUGUUUAAUCUGAGUA